Molecule: ribosomal RNA, 253 nt
Filed under: uncultured bacterium
Lineage: Bacteria
Description: partial 16S ribosomal RNA
Rfam family: Bacterial small subunit ribosomal RNA
Source: RNAcentral
UACGGAGGGUGCAAGCGUUAUCCGGAUUCACUGGGUUUAAAGGGUGCGUAGGCGGGCAGGUAAGUCCGUGGUGAAAUCUCUGAGCUUAACUCAGAAACUGCCAUGGAUACUAUUUGUCUUGAAUAUUGUGGAGGUAAGCGGAAUAUGUCAUGUAGCGGUGAAAUGCUUAGAUAUGACAUAGAACACCAAUUGCGAAGGCAGCUUACUAGACAGUUAUUGACGCUGAGGCACGAAAGCGUGGGGAGCAAACAGG